CGGUAGUUCAGUCGGUUAGAAUACCGGCCUGUCACGCCGGGGGUCGCGGGUUCGAGUCCCGUCCGCUG
Molecule: transfer RNA, 68 nt
Filed under: Pseudomonas oryzihabitans
Lineage: Bacteria; Pseudomonadati; Pseudomonadota; Gammaproteobacteria; Pseudomonadales; Pseudomonadaceae
Rfam family: tRNA
About the family: Transfer RNA (tRNA) molecules are approximately 80 nucleotides in length. Their secondary structure includes four short double-helical elements and three loops (D, anti-codon, and T loops). Further hydrogen bonds mediate the characteristic L-shaped molecular structure. tRNAs have two regions of fundamental functional importance: the anti-codon, which is responsible for specific mRNA codon recognition, and the 3' end, to which the tRNAs corresponding amino acid is attached (by aminoacyl-tRNA synthetases). tRNAs cope with the degeneracy of the genetic code in two manners: having more than one tRNA (with a specific anti-codon) for a particular amino acid; and 'wobble' base-pairing, i.e. permitting non-standard base-pairing at the 3rd anti-codon position.
Source: RNAcentral